Molecule: transfer RNA, 67 nt
Filed under: Marmota monax (woodchuck)
Lineage: Eukaryota; Metazoa; Chordata; Mammalia; Rodentia; Sciuridae
Description: tRNA.Gly
Source: RNAcentral
GGCUGUGGCUCAGUGGCAAAGCACUUGCCUUCCAUGUAUGAGGCACUGGGUUCGAUCCUUAGCACCA